CUCUUCAUCAUUCUCAACACUCUCCAGGGGGCGCUCAUCUUCCUCAUGCACUGCCUGCUGUCCAAACAGGUCAGGAUGGAGUAUUACAAUCUGUUUGUCCGAAUGUGUCCACACAAGAAGAAACCCAAACGCAGAACCAGUACCAGCCAGACCAACAGCAGUCAGAAACCUCUGCGGAGCGACGGAAGCACAGCAGAGUCACAGAUGUAAAGCACUUGUCAUGGGCUGAAAAGACACAUAGAGACUUUCUGUGUCAAAUGAAGUCUUUUCACAAGCUUUAAUUCAACAGUACACUUUCACAGACAUCAUCUGAUGAAUACUGCUGAUGCUUGUUCAACACACGGGAUAUGCAUCAUCUGUUACUGGAGACGGAGAUAUAUAAAGGAAAAAAUAUAUUAAAACAAUCUUAGCAUGUUGAUGAGGAAACAAGUGCAGAAAGUGCUGGAAAGUGGACAUGUUGAGGAGCUGACACAAGCAGAGGAAACAAGUGGUCAGCUUAUUAUUCUGUGUUGCGCCUCCCCCUUCAGAUCUGAGAGAGUAUUGCGAGAAUAUGAGCACAUGAAGAGAAAAUCAGCCCAAUAACAAUCAGGUAAAUCGAUCAGAAUGAGCAGAUGACUCAAAACUGGAUUCUAUUAUUAUGUAUAACUUGACACCUCUUUUUUAUCUUUUGGAUAUGUUAUUGCACAUCAGCAAUAUAAUUGAAAAUAAAUAAAAAAGAAUUAUAUAUUUCUAUGGUGAAAUUUUAGUACAUUUUCUGAAUCGUUUAAAAAUAGUUUGAACUUGACAGUAACUAUAAGAACUUAGAUUUCUUAAACAUUUGAGGGCUGACUGUUUAAUGAAUAUGACGCAAUGAAGCAGAAGUUUUACAAGCUGUCACUUGUUUCAGAUGAGAAAAUAUUUUUACAGUGCUAAAUGUUUUUGAAUGAUACGGUUGAAUAA
Molecule: long non-coding RNA, 939 nt
Organism: Carassius auratus (goldfish)
Lineage: Eukaryota; Metazoa; Chordata; Actinopteri; Cypriniformes; Cyprinidae
Exons: 4
Source: RefSeq, a predicted model, not a curated record